RNAcentral lists this ribosomal RNA (406 nucleotides) under uncultured bacterium. RNAcentral's name for it is "partial 16S ribosomal RNA". It matches the Rfam family "Bacterial small subunit ribosomal RNA", at positions 30 to 526 of the family's 1533-position model. The record is from RNAcentral.
AUUGAACGCUGGCGGCAGGCCUAACACAUGCAAGUCGAACGAGUGGCGGACGGGUGAGUAAUGUCUGGGAAACUGCCUGAUGGAGGGGGAUAACUUCGGGACACGGUAGCUAAUACCGCAUACCAUCAGAUGUGCCCAGAUGGGAUUCGCUAGUUGGUGGGGUAACGGCUCACCAAGGCGACGAUCCCUAGCUGGUCUGAGAGGAUGACCAGCCACACUGGAACGGAGACACGGUCCAGACUCCUACGGGAGGCAGCAGUGGGGAAUAUUGCACAAUGGGAGCAAGCCUGAUACAGACAUGCCGCGUGUAUGAAGAAGGCCUUCGGGUUGUAAAGUACUUUCAGCGGGGAGGCGUUACCCGCAGAAGAAGCACCGGCUAACUCCGUGCCAGCAGCCGCGGUAAUUC